RNAcentral lists this transfer RNA (74 nucleotides) under Anaplasma phagocytophilum. RNAcentral describes it as "tRNA-Met". It matches the Rfam family "tRNA". From Rfam's summary of the family: Transfer RNA (tRNA) molecules are approximately 80 nucleotides in length. Their secondary structure includes four short double-helical elements and three loops (D, anti-codon, and T loops). The record is from RNAcentral. Lineage: Bacteria; Pseudomonadati; Pseudomonadota; Alphaproteobacteria; Rickettsiales; Anaplasmataceae.
GGGGCUGUAGCUCAGUGGUUAGAGCGACUCGCUCAUAACGAGUGGGCCGUAGGUUCAAAUCCUACCAGCCCCAC